CAAGGUGUACAAUAAUAGAGUAGAGGCAGCCAAGUAGCAACAUAUUUCUCAGUUGCAAUUCCUUGCCUCCACUGCGAGACAAACCCCAGCCACAUCUCCAGCACCCAAGAGCUUCCAAACGCCUAAAGCGCAGUGGCCAGGCAUUCCUCCAGAACCGCCUCUCCCAGGAGCUUGCUACAAGUGACAGAAAUCUGGCCACCAGGCCAAGGAAUGCCUGCAGCCCGGGAUUCCUCCUGAGCCAUGUCCCAUCUGUGUGGGACCCCACUAGAAAUCGGACUGUUCAACUCACCUGGCAGCCACUCCCAGAGCCCCUGGAACUCCAGCCCAAGGCUCUCUGACUGACUCCUUCCCAGAUCUUCUUGGCUUAGCAGCUGCAGACCGACAGUGCCCGAUCGAUCACCUCGGAAGCCUACAGGACCAUCACAGACGCUCUACGUUACUCUCACAGUGGAACGUGAUCGAGUGUGGAUCAAGAACUGGAACGUAGCCUCUUUGUGUCCACUGUGGAAAGGACCCCAGACUGUCGUUCUGAGCACUCCCACCGCUGUGAAGGUAGAAGGAAUCCCAGCCUGGAUCCACCACAGCCAUGUAAAACCUGCAGCGCCUGAAACCUGGGAGGCAAGACCAAGCCCAGACAACCCCUGCAGAGUGACCCUGAAGAAGACGACAAGCCCUGCUCCAGUCACACCCGGAAGCUGACUGGUCCACGCACGGCCGAAGCCUGAGGAAGCUCAUCAUGAGAUUCAUUUUUCUUAAAUUUUGGACUUAUACAGUAAGGGCUUCAACUGAUCUUACUCAAACUGGGGACUGUUCCCAGUGUACUCAUCAGGUCACCGAAGUAGGACAGCAAAUUAAAACAAUCUUUCUGUUCUAUAGUUAUUAUGAA
RNAcentral lists this long non-coding RNA (886 nucleotides) under Homo sapiens (human). Its description in RNAcentral is "HSALNT0177874". The record is from RNAcentral. Lineage: Eukaryota; Metazoa; Chordata; Mammalia; Primates; Hominidae.